Long non-coding RNA from Ananas comosus (pineapple), 1095 nucleotides. RefSeq lists it as uncharacterized. The transcript has 3 exons. The record is from RefSeq and is a predicted model, not a curated record. NCBI's taxonomy places the organism in Eukaryota, Viridiplantae, Streptophyta, Magnoliopsida, Poales, Bromeliaceae.
ACGAACGCCGGUGGGUUACGUUUUGCAGCAAACGUUAGAACAACAGAUAUUGAGUUCUACAGAGAUGAGUUAGACCAACAGAGAGAGACUCAGAUGACAUGGCGGCCGUACACAGAUGUUAUUAUAGAUGCGCUACCUGCAUUCUGUGUACAGGGCAGUGAGGUAUGGCGAUCUCGGACGACACUGAUUUGUUUUCAUAUCGUUGAGCUUCACGUGCAGGAUCGAGUCCUACGGCAGUUUCGUCUCCUCCAGCAUAUACUCAUUCCGGUGGAGACCAUCCGGCGCUACACUUCUCAGGGGCGGCCAGAUGAGGAUUGGGCUCACUUUCAUGCUGCACACAUCGAGCGAUGGGGAGAUAGAUUACAGGCCAUUAUUGACCAGCAUCCGAUUGUCGGUGAUGAUCCGGUACAGGCGACCUCGAUUUAUAUGGACUGGUACUGGCAGAUCACGAGACGAUGAAUUUCUCGUCCAGUACAGCGUCCACCAUUGACUUACCAGCCUCGUGGCCAGACCGAGAGAGCUUUGGUGGACGCUAUACGACAGACACAGUAUACCAUCAGGAGCCUAGUUCAUGAUCGACCAUCUUACGAUGCAGUGAUGGAGGUAUUGACGGGUAUGAAUAUCGAUCUUGAUAGUGUACUGGAGUACAUUCCUACUAUACCUGUCGCCACUGAUAUCAGAGGUCGAGAUUUUGGACAUGCAUCGACAUCGGGUCAUCACCACCGUCAAACACCGACAUCUGCUGGAUCUCCAUCUCCUAGUGAUGUUGCUGAUAUACCCGCCGCCCCUGAGAGAUUUCCUACUAGGCCAUUGGACUUGGACUUGCUUUUGCCGCCGCCAGUCUCUAGAGAGCACUUUACAUUCGUCUAUUCUCGACGUCAUGCCGCGUCUUCAUCACAGGCCCGCCCAACAUCUAGACCGGCCACUAUCGAGGAGACUCAGGCGAUACCGGAGCAUCGCGAGGGCAUUAUGAUUGCGGAUCUCGAUGCGAUGACCGAUAUCGAGGCAAUUGAUGACAUACCUAUUACUGAUCUCGUUGUAGAGGGUGGCCGUAGACGUGGACGUGGCCGUGCACUAGGACGUGGCCGAGGACGU